UCCUGGUCCGGGGCUGAGUCCUGCAAAUCCUUGUGGUCAAUAAAGCGCAGCUGGAAGCUGGUCCUGGAGAGGGGAGGAUAAGCUGCAACUGCCAUUUGUAGAGGGCUCACAGUGUGCCAGGCACUUUGCCAGGGGCCCUGCCUCACUCUCCAGCUCUCCAAGGUGGGUAGUGUUCUAUCCCUAUUUCACUCAAGAGGCAGCGGAACCCAGGCCCAGUGGCUCGGUCCCAAUCACCCAGCUGGAAGGGACAGUGCCAGAGUUUGGACACACUGCAGCUUGGCUCCCAGGUUCUGCUGGCCUCCGGUGUUCCUGACCAUGCCCUGCCUGCCCUCACCACAUCCCAUCCCUAGGAACUCAAUGGGGUUCACCCUCCACUUUCUCUACACAGACACCCCAGCCCAUCACAGCACAGAGGUGAGAGAGAGGUGCUUCCUUCCCAUCACCCUCCUCGCUGACCACACACACCCCCACCAUCACGCCCAGCCAGACUCCGGGCAGGAGGAAGAAGGCCCGCUGGUGACCUCCGGGAGUUCUGCCAAGAAAAACGCAGACAGGAGGGUGAGCAAGGACACACUCGGCUGGUCAUGGAGCACCCGGCACCCAUCUUGGGGCCAAAAGGAGAGUCCUCCAGACUGCAACACCAAAACAAUGGAAUAAAAAGCUGACUGGGAAGCUGA
Hipposideros armiger (great roundleaf bat) is the source of this 677-nucleotide long non-coding RNA. RefSeq lists it as uncharacterized. The transcript is spliced from 3 exons. Lineage: Eukaryota; Metazoa; Chordata; Mammalia; Chiroptera; Hipposideridae. The record is from RefSeq and is a predicted model, not a curated record.